This is a long non-coding RNA of Aricia agestis (brown argus), 83 nucleotides long. RefSeq lists it as uncharacterized. Lineage: Eukaryota; Metazoa; Arthropoda; Insecta; Lepidoptera; Lycaenidae. The record is from RefSeq and is a predicted model, not a curated record. The transcript has 3 exons.
UCUUGUAUAUAUACAUAAUUGGAAUCUCGGAAUCGGCUUCCACGAUUUACAUGAAAUUGAGUAUAUAGGGAAUAUCGGGGACG